This 253-nucleotide ribosomal RNA is filed under the name uncultured bacterium. RNAcentral describes it as "partial 16S ribosomal RNA". It matches the Rfam family "Bacterial small subunit ribosomal RNA", at positions 524 to 776 of the family's 1533-position model. The record is from RNAcentral.
UACGAAGGGGGCUAGCGUUGCUCGGAAUCACUGGGCGUAAAGCGCACGUAGGCGGAUUGCUAAGUCAGGGGUGAAAUCCUGGAGCUCAACUCCAGGACUGCCUUUGAUACUGGCGAUCUUGAGUCCGGGAGAGGUGAGUGGAACUGCGAGUGUAGAGGUGAAAUUCGUAGAUAUUCGCAAGAACACCAGUGGCGAAGGCGGCUCACUGGCCCGGUACUGACGCUGAGGUGCGAAAGCGUGGGGAGCAAACAGG